GGCUCAGGAUGAACGCUGGCGGUAUGCUUUACACAUGCAAGUCGUACGGGAGUUUUUAACUCAAGUGGCGGACGGGUGAGUAACACGUAAGAAUUUGCCUUUAGGAGGGGGACAACAACUGGAAACGGUUGCUAAUACCCCAUAUGCUUUCGAGUGAAACGGAUUUUUCCGCCUAAAGAGAAGCUUGCGGCUGAUUAGCUUGUUGGUAAGGUAAUGGCUUACCAAGGCGACGAUCAGUAUCUGGUUUGAGAGGACGAUCAGACACACCGGAACUGAGACACGGUCCAGACUCCUACGGGAGGCAGCAGUGGGGAAUUUUCCGCAAUGGGCGAAAGCCUGACGGAGCAAUACCGCGUGAGGGAUGACGGCCUAUGGGUUGUAAACCUCUUUUUUCAGGGAGGAAUAAAAUGACGUGUACCUGAAGAAUAAGCAUCGGCUAACUCCGUGCCAGCAGCCGCGGUAAGACGGAGGAUGCAAGUGUUAUCCGGAAUCACUGGGCGUAAAGCGUCUGUAGGUGGUCAAAUAAGUCAACUGUUAAAUCUUGAGGCUCAACCUCAAAAUCGCAGUCGAAACUAUUAGACUAGAGUAUAGUAGGGGUAAAGGGAAUUUCCAGUGGAGCGGUGAAAUGCGUAGAUAUUGGAAAGAACACCGAUGGCGAAGGCACUUUACUGGGCUAUUACUAACACUCAGAGACGAAAGCUAGGGUAGCAAAUGGGAUUAGAUACCCCAGUAGUCCUAGCUGUAAACAAUGUAUACUAGAUGUUGGACAGAUCGACCUGUGCAGUAUCAAAGCUAACGCGUUAAGUAUCCCGCCUGGGAAGUAUGCUCGCAAGAGUGAAACUCAAAG
RNAcentral lists this ribosomal RNA (847 nucleotides) under uncultured bacterium. RNAcentral's name for it is "bacterial SSU rRNA". It matches the Rfam family "Bacterial small subunit ribosomal RNA", at positions 21 to 906 of the family's 1533-position model. The record is from RNAcentral.